UCCCUGUUGGCUAAGACAGUAAAGAGUCUGCCUGCAAUGCAGGAGACCCAGGUUCGAUCCCUGGGUCAGGAA
This 72-nucleotide transfer RNA is filed under the name Bos taurus (domestic cattle). It matches the Rfam family "tRNA". From Rfam's summary of the family: Transfer RNA (tRNA) molecules are approximately 80 nucleotides in length. RNAcentral also lists the same sequence under 3 other names. Lineage: Eukaryota; Metazoa; Chordata; Mammalia; Artiodactyla; Bovidae. The record is from Rfam by way of RNAcentral.